AGCACAUCUCGUUGAAUUUUGUUAGUUGCUCUUUAACAAAAUUUGUAGAUGAGUGCUAAAAGUAAGCCCUCUCUUGCAACCCACAGCUGAUUCAUUACAUAAGUUGUGUUACUAACUAAGAGGGACAAC
Molecule: small nucleolar RNA, 129 nt
Organism: Ornithorhynchus anatinus (platypus)
Lineage: Eukaryota; Metazoa; Chordata; Mammalia; Monotremata; Ornithorhynchidae
Product: small nucleolar RNA SNORA40
Exons: 1
Source: RefSeq, a predicted model, not a curated record